Molecule: long non-coding RNA, 383 nt
Organism: Syzygium oleosum
Lineage: Eukaryota; Viridiplantae; Streptophyta; Magnoliopsida; Myrtales; Myrtaceae
Exons: 3
Source: RefSeq, a predicted model, not a curated record
GGUCUAUGGCAUAUCAUGGCUUAUGAUCUUCCUUAUAGUAUUUGUGGUGUUGAUUUUUUUCUACGAUGAAUUAAAUGUCAGCGAUGAGUUCAUCCUCAUCGUUCGGGCAAUCAAGGGACUUUCGCUCGUCCUUGGUAGCCAUUUUCGUUUUGUACAUGACAAUGCACGACUUAAUGCUUUGCAUUCUUGCUUUCUUGCUAACGGGUUGGGGAAUCAUUUUGAUUGCACAAGCUUACAAACCUCAUGUCGUCAAGCUUGGAAUUUGGGGAUCAGUUCUUACUCUUGCCCAUUAUUACGAGAUCAUGAUGGGUUUGUUUCUGUUCAUUCCAGUUGUAAUCCUGGCUUUGAAUCCAAUUGUCUCAGAACUCCAGACCCGUAUUCUC